This 1372-nucleotide ribosomal RNA is filed under the name uncultured bacterium. RNAcentral describes it as "bacterial SSU rRNA". It matches the Rfam family "Bacterial small subunit ribosomal RNA", at positions 28 to 1381 of the family's 1533-position model. The record is from RNAcentral.
GAUGAACGCUGGCGGCGUGCCUAAUACAUGCAAGUCGAGCGAACGGACGAGAAGCUUGCUUCUCUGAUGUUAGCGGCGGACGGGUGAGUAACACGUGGAUAACCUACCUAUAAGACUGGGAUAACUUCGGGAAACCGGAGCUAAUACCGGAUAAUAUUUUGAACCGCAUGGUUCAAAAGUGAAAGACGGUCUUGCUGUCACUUAUAGAUGGAUCCGCGCUGCAUUAGCUAGUUGGUAAGGUAACGGCUUACCAAGGCAACGAUGCAUAGCCGACCUGAGAGGGUGAUCGGCCACACUGGAACUGAGACACGGUCCAGACUCCUACGGGAGGCAGCAGUAGGGAAUCUUCCGCAAUGGGCGAAAGCCUGACGGAGCAACGCCGCGUGAGUGAUGAAGGUCUUCGGAUCGUAAAACUCUGUUAUUAGGGAAGAACAUAUGUGUAAGUAACUGUGCACAUCUUGACGGUACCUAAUCAGAAAGCCACGGCUAACUACGUGCCAGCAGCCGCGGUAAUACGUAGGUGGCAAGCGUUAUCCGGAAUUAUUGGGCGUAAAGCGCGCGUAGGCGGUUUUUUAAGUCUGAUGUGAAAGCCCACGGCUCAACCGUGGAGGGUCAUUGGAAACUGGAAAACUUGAGUGCAGAAGAGGAAAGUGGAAUUCCAUGUGUAGCGGUGAAAUGCGCAGAGAUAUGGAGGAACACCAGUGGCGAAGGCGACUUUCUGGUCUGUAACUGACGCUGAUGUGCGAAAGCGUGGGGAUCAAACAGGAUUAGAUACCCUGGUAGUCCACGCCGUAAACGAUGAGUGCUAAGUGUUAGGGGGUUUCCGCCCCUUAGUGCUGCAGCUAACGCAUUAAGCACUCCGCCUGGGGAGUACGACCGCAAGGUUGAAACUCAAAGGAAUUGACGGGGACCCGCACAAGCGGUGGAGCAUGUGGUUUAAUUCGAAGCAACGCGAAGAACCUUACCAAAUCUUGACAUCCUUUGACAACUCUAGAGACAGAGCCUUCCCCUUCGGGGGACAAAGUGACAGGUGGUGCAUGGUUGUCGUCAGCUCGUGUCGUGAGAUGUUGGGUUAAGUCCCGCAACGAGCGCAACCCUUAAGCUUAGUUGCCAUCAUUAAGUUGGGCACUCUAAGUUGACUGCCGGUGACAAACCGGAGGAAGGUGGGGAUGACGUCAAAUCAUCAUGCCCCUUAUGAUUUGGGCUACACACGUGCUACAAUGGACAAUACAAAGGGCAGCGAAACCGCGAGGUCAAGCAAAUCCCAUAAAGUUGUUCUCAGUUCGGGUUGUAGUCUGCAACUCGACUACAUGAAGCUGGAAUCGCUAGUAAUCGUAGAUCAGCAUGCUACGGUGAAUACGUUCCCGGGUCU